AACGAACGCUGGCGGCAGGCUUAACACAUGCAAGUCGAACGCGCCCUUCGGGGCGAGUGGCAGACGGGUGAGUAACGCGUGGGAACCUACCUUUUGGUACGGAAUAACUCAGGGAAACUUGAGCUAAUACCGUAUGUGCCCUUCGGGGGAAAGAUUUAUCGCCAAAGGAUGGGCCCGCGUCGGAUUAGCUAGUCGGUAGGGUAACGGCCUACCAAGGCGACGAUCCGUAGCUGGUCUGAGAGGAUGAUCAGCCACACUGGGACUGAGACACGGCCCAGACUCCUACGGGAGGCAGCAGUGGGGAAUAUUGGACAAUGGGGGCAACCCUGAUCCAGCCAUGCCGCGUGAGUGAUGAAGGCCUUAGGGUUGUAAAGCUCUUUCGCCGGUGAAGAUAGUGACGGUAGCCGGAGAAGAAGCCCCGGCUAACUUCGUGCCAGCCGCCGCAGUAA
Molecule: ribosomal RNA, 449 nt
Filed under: uncultured bacterium
Lineage: Bacteria
Description: partial 16S ribosomal RNA
Rfam family: Bacterial small subunit ribosomal RNA
Source: RNAcentral